Molecule: ribosomal RNA, 655 nt
Filed under: Bacillus amyloliquefaciens
Lineage: Bacteria; Bacillati; Bacillota; Bacilli; Caryophanales; Bacillaceae
Description: bacterial SSU rRNA
Rfam family: Bacterial small subunit ribosomal RNA
Source: RNAcentral
CCUGAGGUAGCGGCGGACGGGUGAGUAACACGUGGGUAACCUGCCUGUAAGAGUGGGAUAACUCCGGGAAACCGGGGCUAAUACCGGAUGGUUGUUUGAACCGCAUGGUUCAGACAUAAAAGGUGGCUUCGGCUACCACUUACAGAUGGACCCGCGGCGCAUUAGCUAGUUGGUGAGGUAACGGCUCACCAAGGCGACGAUGCGUAGCCGACCUGAGAGGGUGAUCGGCCACACUGGGACUGAGACACGGCCCAGACUCCUACGGGAGGCAGCAGUAGGGAAUCUUCCGCAAUGGACGAAAGUCUGACGGAGCAACGCCGCGUGAGUGAUGAAGGUUUUCGGAUCGUAAAGCUCUGUUGUUAGGGAAGAACAAGUGCCGUUCAAAUAGGGCGGCACCUUGACGGUACCUAACCAGAAAGCCACGGCUAACUACGUGCCAGCAGCCGCGGUAAUACGUAGGUGGCAAGCGUUGUCCGGAAUUAUUGGGCGUAAAGGGCUCGCAGGCGGUUUCUUAAGUCUGAUGUGAAAGCCCCCGGCUCAACCGGGGAGGGUCAUUGGAAACUGGGGAACUUGAGUGCAUAAGAGGAGAGUGGAAUUCCACGUGUAGCGGUGAAAUGCUUAGAGAUGUGGAAGAACACCAUUGGCGAAAGGGACU